AUUUGGAAAUUUCCUGACGCUCGAGCCUCCAACGCGAACCACGAGCAUCGCCGACAAACCACGAACCACGAACCAAGAAAGAAGUCAACACACGGAGGGGUUUCUAUUUGGCCUCUACAAAGAGUGUGCUGCUCCUUAUUAAACCAAAGAAUUUUCCUAAAAACUUAGAGACUGCACAUCGACGAUUGUUCACGGUAAACCACAAUCAACGACGACCACCAACGACCACCAUCAACAAUCAAAGCCGAUUCUCACUCUUUUGAAAAAAAAAGGGAUCACAAAUGACACAAGAAAUGCCACCACAAAAGAAUGAAGCUCAAACCAACGAAAGCCAAGAAUCAAAAUAAUGGCUCAAAAGAGAAAAUCAAAGGCAAACUAUAAUAGGAAAGCAAAGCACCUGGACUAUAUCCAGUUUCGGUGCAACGUCAAUGCUUUCAACAGCAUCAUUACAGACGUUAAAGGCAAGCUCAAUGAAAGGCAGAAGAAACUGCUCAAGAAAACGCCUUUUUGGAACUUGAUUGAGCUGUUUUACAACAAAAGAAUUGACACGAAUAACAUGAAUAAGUCGGACCUCAACUUUGUAAAGCUGCUCAAGAAGUUUGAUCCAAAUACAAAGUCCUUCAAUUUCGGCAUCAAAUCAUUCUAAAUCACAGCCGAUGUUGUGAUUGAGAUUCUAGGACUUCCAAACGAAGAAAACUCUGUCAAACUUGGCAAUGAUAGGUACAUUGCUACUUUCAAAACAAGGCACUUUGGAGGAAAGUCAAACCUAUCAAAAGGCAUGGUAGAAGGAGAAUUACAAAAGACAAUUUCCUUGACAAACCAACCGAAGAAAUAAAAGGCCACGGUAAAGCAAAAGAAGAAAACGAACAGAGGAAAAGCAAAAAAAGAAGCUGAAAGAAGAAGAAGAAGGGGAAGACAAAGAGGAAAAGGAGGUUGUUGACUACGAAAAGGAUGUGGUCAGCCUAAUUUUGAUUCUGCUCUGCAUGACAUUCCUUUUUGCCAACUCUUCAUUCACUUUGCAUUGGAAAAUUGUUGAGCACUGUAUGAAUCUAGACACACUUUCAAGCUAUUCGCGAGCAAGAGCUGUAUCAACCUACAUAAAUGACUCUUUGAUCACAAAGGCAAAAGCAAAAAGGGGAAGAGAAACCUCUAUAAGAGUUGUUUCGGGUUGCACUAUCCUAAUAUUAAACUGUGUAGUUUCUACUGUGUGCGAGGACAAACAUUAUACAACCAAUCCUUGGCAAGGAGAAAGAAACUCUUGCAAUUUUUAAAUAAAGUCUUGUGGAACUCCACAGAAGAUUCAACCAAAUAGAGGACUUAAAUGACAUAAAGGGUAUUUUGAAAACAUAUAAAAAGCGAGAAACUACCAGAGAAGAGAAGAAGAGAAGAAACAAGAAGAGAAAGAAGAAGAGAAGAAGUUAGAUGCUCCAACACCUGAUGUUCUGUCAAGAAUACAAAGGCUAAAGAACAGAGAAAGGAAGAGGCAUCAAGCAUCUUUCUAUGAGUACGAAAAAGAUAAGCAACCAAAAAAAGAGUGCUUGAAAGUGUGUCUAGAUUCACACAAUGCUCAACAAUUUUCUAGUGCAAAGUGGAUGACGAGUUGGCAAAGAGGAAUGUCAUGCAGAGUAGAAUCAAGAUUAGGCUGACCAUAUUCUUGUCGUAGUCAACACCCUUCUUUUCCUCUUCGUCUUCCCCUUCUUUUUCUUCUUUUUCUUCAGCUUUUUUUUUUUUGCCGUUCCUUUGUUCGUUUUCUUCUUUUGCUUUACCUUGGCCUUUUCUUUCUUCGGUUGGUUUGCCAAGGCAAUUGUCUUUUGUAAUUCUUCUUCUACCAUGUCUUUUGAUGGUUUUGACUUUCUUCCAAAAUGCCUUGUUAUGAAGGUAGCAGUGUAUCUAUCAUUGCCAAGUUUGACAGAGUUUCCUUCGUUUGGAAGUCCUAGAAUCUCAGUCACUGCAUUGACUGUGAUUUGGAAUGAUUUGGUGCCGAAAUUGAAGGACUUUGUAUCUGGAUCAAACUUCUUGAGUAGCUUUAUUAAGUCGAGGUCCAACUUAUUCAUGUUAUUCAUGUCAAUUCUUUUGUUGUGAAACAGCUCAAUCAAGUUCUAGAAAUGCGUUUUAUUGAGUAGUUUCUUCUGCCUUUCAUUGAGCUUGUCAUUAACGUCUGUAAUGAUGCUAUUGAAAGCAUUGACGUUGCACCAAAAUUGGGUAUAGUCCGGGUGCUUUGCUUUCCUA
Prunus mume (Japanese apricot) is the source of this 2229-nucleotide non-coding RNA. The record is from RefSeq and is a predicted model, not a curated record. Lineage: Eukaryota; Viridiplantae; Streptophyta; Magnoliopsida; Rosales; Rosaceae.